This is a long non-coding RNA of Chelonia mydas (Green sea turtle), 391 nucleotides long. RefSeq lists it as uncharacterized. The record is from RefSeq and is a predicted model, not a curated record. The transcript is spliced from 3 exons. NCBI's taxonomy places the organism in Eukaryota, Metazoa, Chordata, Testudines, Cheloniidae.
AGGAAGCCAGGAGAUGAGCUGGAAAGAGGGAAGCUGUAUGAGAGGAAAGGUAGUGAGGGGAAGCAGGGAGUGAUAGCUUGCUCCCUCUCUCCUGCUGGUGGACUGUAAGUAGGGAGACUACCAGUAUGGUGGAAAGGUGGUGGGAACACAACCUGUAAAUAAAAGCACCAGGAUCACAAAAUUGAAUUUCUGGGAGCAAGGUGGACUGGAGGAUCACUCUCCUCCCUGUGACAGAGACAAGAGAUCUCUUGAGGCAGGCGGAGAAAUACAGCACCAAAGCAGUUGCUAUUUUCAAAGCAUGAAUCUUGAGUUGAUGGCUCAUGUAUACUGGGAAACAGGAAGAAUUUGAGACCAUUGAGAAGGAAAACCUCUUCUCAAUUUCCAGGGUAGA